RNAcentral lists this ribosomal RNA (959 nucleotides) under Salmonella enterica. Its description in RNAcentral is "partial 23S ribosomal RNA". It matches the Rfam family "Bacterial large subunit ribosomal RNA", at positions 1273 to 2215 of the family's 2925-position model. The record is from RNAcentral. RNAcentral also lists the same sequence under 1 other name. Lineage: Bacteria; Pseudomonadati; Pseudomonadota; Gammaproteobacteria; Enterobacterales; Enterobacteriaceae.
CUGGAGGUAUCAGAAGUGCGAAUGCUGACAUAAGUAACGAUAAAGCGGGUGAAAAGCCCGCUCGCCGGAAGACCAAGGGUUCCUGUCCAACGUUAAUCGGGGCAGGGUGAGUCGACCCCUAAGGCGAGGCCGAAAGGCGUAGUCGAUGGGAAACGGGUUAAUAUUCCCGUACUUGGUGUUACUGCGAAGGGGGGACGGAGAAGGCUAUGUUGGCCGGGCGACGGUUGUCCCGGUUUAAGCGUGUAGGUGUGUGUUCCAGGUAAAUCCGGUUCACUUUAACACUGAGGCGUGACGACGAGGCACUACGGUGCUGAAGCAACAAAUGCCCUGCUUCCAGGAAAAGCCUCUAAGCAUCAGGUAACACGAAAUCGUACCCCAAACCGACACAGGUGGUCAGGUAGAGAAUACCAAGGCGCUUGAGAGAACUCGGGUGAAGGAACUAGGCAAAAUGGUGCCGUAACUUCGGGAGAAGGCACGCUGACACGUAGGUGAAGUGAUUUACUCAUGGAGCUGAAGUCAGUCGAAGAUACCAGCUGGCUGCAACUGUUUAUUAAAAACACAGCACUGUGCAAACACGAAAGUGGACGUAUACGGUGUGACGCCUGCCCGGUGCCGGAAGGUUAAUUGAUGGGGUCAGCGCAAGCGAAGCUCCUGAUCGAAGCCCCGGUAAACGGCGGCCGUAACUAUAACGGUCCUAAGGUAGCGAAAUUCCUUGUCGGGUAAGUUCCGACCUGCACGAAUGGCGUAAUGAUGGCCAGGCUGUCUCCACCCGAGACUCAGUGAAAUUGAACUCGCUGUGAAGAUGCAGUGUACCCGCGGCAAGACGGAAAGACCCCGUGAACCUUUACUAUAGCUUGACACUGAACAUUGAGCCUUGAUGUGUAGGAUAGGUGGGAGGCUUUGAAGCGUGGACGCCAGUCUGCGUGGAGCCGACCUUGAAAUACCACCCUUUAAUGUUU